RNAcentral lists this ribosomal RNA (974 nucleotides) under Alcanivorax borkumensis. Its description in RNAcentral is "bacterial SSU rRNA". It matches the Rfam family "Bacterial small subunit ribosomal RNA", at positions 55 to 1032 of the family's 1533-position model. Lineage: Bacteria; Pseudomonadati; Pseudomonadota; Gammaproteobacteria; Oceanospirillales; Alcanivoracaceae. The record is from RNAcentral.
AUGCAGUCGAGCGGAAACGAUCCUAGCUUGCUAGGAGGCGUCGAGCGGCGGACGGGUGAGUAACACGUGAGAAUCUGCCCAUUAGAGGGGGAUAACCUGGGGAAACCCAGGCUAAUACCGCAUAAUCCCUACGGGGGAAAGCAGGGGAUCUUCGGACCUUGUGCUGAUGGAUGAGCUCGCGUCGGAUUAGCUUGUUGGUGAGGUAAUGGCUCACCAAGGCGACGAUCCGUAGCUGGUCUUAGAGGAUGAUCAGCCACACCGGGACUGAGACACGGCCCGGACUAAUACGGGAGGCAGCAGUGGGGAAUCUUGGACAAUGGGGGCAACCCUGAUCCAGCCAUGCCGCGAAUGUGAAGAAGGCCUUCGGGUUGUAAAGCACUUUCAGUAGGGAGGAAGGCUUAUCCUUAAUACGGAUGAGUACUUGACGUUACCUACAGAAGAAGCACCGGCUAAUUUCGUGCCAGCAGCCGCGGUAAUACGAAAGGUGCGAGCGUUAAUCGGAAUUACUGGGCGUAAAGCGCGCGUAGGCGGUUUGCUAAGUCAGAUGUGAAAGCCCCGGGCUCAACCUGGGAACUGCAUUUGAAACUGGCAGGCUAGAAUGCAGUAGAGGGAGGUGGAAUUUCCGGUGUAGCGGUGAAAUGCGUAGAGAUCGGAAGGAACACCAGUGGCGAAGGCGGCCUCCUGGACUGACAUUGACGCUGAGGUGCGAAAGCGUGGGGAGCAAACAGGAUUAGAUACCCUGGUAGUCCACGCCGUAACGAUGUCUACUAGUCGUUGGGAUCUUAGUAUUCUUGGUGACGAAGUUAACGCGAUAAGUAGACCGCCUGGGGAGUACGGCCGCAAGGUUAAACUCAAUGAAUUGACGGGGGCCGCACAAGCGGUGGAGCAUGUGGUUAAUUCGAUGCACGCGAAGAACUUACCAGGCUUGACAUCCUUGGAACUUUCUAGAGAUAGAUGGUGCUUCGGGAGCAAGU